RNAcentral lists this unclassified non-coding RNA (204 nucleotides) under Hevea brasiliensis (rubber tree). Lineage: Eukaryota; Viridiplantae; Streptophyta; Magnoliopsida; Malpighiales; Euphorbiaceae. The record is from RNAcentral.
GUAAGAUUUAAAAUCAUUGUGGCUGCCUUCAAAGCCCAUGCAUCAGGAGUCUGGUACAAAGAAGCUGAAUCGCCAAAGCAUGAGGCAAGCAUGUCAGUGUUUAUAACUCCAGGAUUAAGGGCCACAAUUGCCAUUCCCUCUGGCAAUUCUUUUGCUACUGAUCUGGUUAAACCCUCAAUGGCCCAUUUUGAAGCACAAUAAGGU